GGGAAACUUUCGAUAUUCUAUUAAAUCAAACUUAAAUUUUAAGGUAUGAUUAUUUUAUACUGAUGAUCAGGAGGUUGAAGUGCAGAAAAAAUGCUUCAUUCUGAAGUGGCGUUUAUUAUAGAAAAAAUUGAGUAAUUAGCCGCACGAACUGCUUAUUUAUAAUUCAUGCAGUUAAUUGCACAAAAAUAAUGAAUACCAAAUACAAGCAGUAAACAAUAUAGUUUAUUUAUUCAUUUAGAAUUUGAACGCAGAGCUGGGGUUGCGUGGCAAGUAUUUCAUCUUAUUUUGACAGUAAUUGCAAAUACACAAGAAGCGAAAGCAAAGGAGGGGAGGCGGAGCAAUGCUUGAAGUCGCGGAGGCACUGACGCAGGAGGAGAUCACACUGGACGUAAUUACAAACGUGAAAGUGUGAGACUCUGGCCUGCAGGCGAAACACGCACGCGCACGAAUACGAAUUCACAUUUCGUCCGUGAUGUUCUUAUCGUUAUGUAAACUCCCCCUGUGUUCCGGCCUCACCCAACCCUUUGUGAUACCUUAAUAUUGGUAGAAUAUAUGGAUUUGUAACCAUACAUCUUAAGAAUCUUGAUUAGAGUAAACAAAAUAACUUUCGAUCGUUGUCGUGGACAAAAAAAAAAAAAAAAACAACGUUAUCCGCCCGCCGGCCCCCACCGAGCGCGACGUGGCCUCCUGCGUCACAGAUAAGGCCGAUGGCUCGGAAAAAAGAAUGACUUUUGUUCCGUCAUUUAUCUAAUCAGUCGAUAGCCUGAAUCAAUGGUUAUGUCAGUGAGUAGGUGGAGCUCAAUCCGACCACAUCUACACACGUUCAAAGGCAGUUCUUUUGGUUAAUUCGUCCCAAACCCUUCUUAGGCUGAGCUGCUGUUUAAAGAGAGCGUGUUGUAGCAGCGCCCGCAACAUGUGAAUGCAUAAUACCCGAACUUCAACUGCUGGACUACAAGCAAGACAAGCAAGGCAAACAAGACACGACCCAAGUAUCUGGUAUGUGACCAGACGACCCGCAGCAUCUUCCUGUGACGUGGUAAGACCUAGACCCUGGCUUCUGUUCACAAGGAUAGGCUGAGGUAAGUCCUCCUCUCCACCCUGUAUGCGGAGCUGGAUAGAAGGUAAAUCUGCAAACCUUUUGUGGCUACGUGCAUUUCGGCGUCACGAGGGGG
Molecule: non-coding RNA, 1172 nt
Organism: Penaeus vannamei (Pacific white shrimp)
Lineage: Eukaryota; Metazoa; Arthropoda; Malacostraca; Decapoda; Penaeidae
Source: RefSeq, a predicted model, not a curated record